GGGCCGAUAGCUCAGUUGGUUAGAGCACACGGCUGAUAACCGUGAGGUCAGAGGUUCGACUCCUCUUCGGCCCACCA
RNAcentral lists this transfer RNA (77 nucleotides) under Aminobacterium colombiense. Its description in RNAcentral is "tRNA-Ile". It matches the Rfam family "tRNA". Rfam says of the family: Transfer RNA (tRNA) molecules are approximately 80 nucleotides in length. Their secondary structure includes four short double-helical elements and three loops (D, anti-codon, and T loops). Further hydrogen bonds mediate the characteristic L-shaped molecular structure. tRNAs have two regions of fundamental functional importance: the anti-codon, which is responsible for specific mRNA codon recognition, and the 3' end, to which the tRNAs corresponding amino acid is attached (by aminoacyl-tRNA synthetases). tRNAs cope with the degeneracy of the genetic code in two manners: having more than one tRNA (with a specific anti-codon) for a particular amino acid; and 'wobble' base-pairing, i.e. permitting non-standard base-pairing at the 3rd anti-codon position. The record is from RNAcentral. Lineage: Bacteria; Thermotogati; Synergistota; Synergistia; Synergistales; Aminobacteriaceae. RNAcentral also lists the same sequence under 1 other name.